This 441-nucleotide ribosomal RNA is filed under the name uncultured bacterium. Its description in RNAcentral is "partial 16S ribosomal RNA". It matches the Rfam family "Bacterial small subunit ribosomal RNA", at positions 338 to 795 of the family's 1533-position model. The record is from RNAcentral.
CCUACGGGAGGCUGCAGUGGGGAAUAUUGCACAAUGGGCGAAAGCCUGAUGCAGCGACGCCGCGUGAGUGAAGAAGUAUUUCGGUAUGUAAAGCUCUAUCAGCAGGGACGAAGCAAGACGGUACCUGACUAAGAAGCACCGGCUAACUACGUGCCAGCAGCCGCGGUAAUACGUAGGGGGCAAGCGUUAUCCGGAUUUACUGGGUGUAAAGGGAGCGUAGGCGGUAUGGCAAGUCUGAUGUGAAAUGCAAGAGCUUAACCCUGGGACUGCUUUGGAAACUGUUAGGCUAGAGUGCGGGAGAGGUAAGUGGAAUUCCUGGUGUAGCGGUGAAAUGCGUAGAUAUUAGGAGGAACACCAGUGGCGAAGGCGGCUUACUGGACAGUAACUGACGUUGAGGCUCGAAAGCGGGGGGAGCAAACAGGAUUAGAUACCCGUGUAGUC